Molecule: ribosomal RNA, 521 nt
Filed under: uncultured bacterium
Lineage: Bacteria
Description: bacterial SSU rRNA
Rfam family: Archaeal small subunit ribosomal RNA
Source: RNAcentral
AACCUCCGCAAUGUGAGAAAUCGCGACGGGGGGAUCCCAAGUGCCAUUCUUAACGGGAUGGCUUUUCAUUAGUGUAAAAAGCUUUUGGAAUAAGAGCUGGGCAAGACCGGUGCCAGCCGCCGCGGUAACACCGGCAGCUCUAGUGGUAGCAAUUUUUAUUGGGCCUAAAGCGUCCGUAGCCGGUUUAAUAAGUCUCUGGUGAAAUCCUGUAGCUUAACUGUGGGAAUUGCUGGAGAUACUAUUAGACUUGAGACCGGGAGAGGUUAGAGGUACUCCCAGGGUAGAGGUGAAAUUCUGUAAUCCUGGGAGGACCGCCUGUUGCGAAGGCGUCUAACUGGAACGGUUCUGACGGUGAGGGACGAAAGUUAGGGGCGCGAACCGGAUUAGAUACCCGGGUAGUCCUAACUGUAAACGAUGCGGACUUGGUGUUGGGGUGGCUUUGAGCUGCUCCAGUGCCGAAGGGAAGCUGUUAAGUCCGCCGCCUGGGAAGUACGGUCGCAAGACUGAAACUUAAAAGGAUU